This is a small nuclear RNA of Sorex araneus (European shrew), 167 nucleotides long. RefSeq annotates it as U1 spliceosomal RNA. NCBI's taxonomy places the organism in Eukaryota, Metazoa, Chordata, Mammalia, Eulipotyphla, Soricidae. The record is from RefSeq and is a predicted model, not a curated record. The transcript has a single exon.
AUAUUUGAAGUCUGGCAGGAGAGACACCAUGAUCACGUAGGUGGUUUUCCCAGGGUGAGGCUCAUACAUUGCACUUGGGAUGUGUUGACCCCUGCAAUUUCAACAAAUGUGGGAAACUCGACUGCAUAAUUUGUGGUAGUGGGGAACUGUAUUCACACUCUCCCCUG